Molecule: RNase P RNA, 216 nt
Filed under: Gammaproteobacteria bacterium
Lineage: Bacteria; Pseudomonadati; Pseudomonadota; Gammaproteobacteria
Description: partial RNase P RNA component class A
Rfam family: Bacterial RNase P class A
About the family: Ribonuclease P (RNase P) is a ubiquitous endoribonuclease, found in archaea, bacteria and eukarya as well as chloroplasts and mitochondria. Its best characterised activity is the generation of mature 5'-ends of tRNAs by cleaving the 5'-leader elements of precursor-tRNAs. Cellular RNase Ps are ribonucleoproteins.
Source: RNAcentral
AAGGGUGAAAGGGUGCGGUAAGAGCGCACCGCGCGGCUGGUAACAGUUCGUGGCACGGUAAACUCCACCCGGAGCAAGAUCAAAUAGGCCCCCUUUGGCGCGGCCCGCGUUGGGGGCGGGUAGAUUGCUUGAGGCUUAAGGCGACUUAAGUCCUAGAGGAAUGAUUGUCACUCUGGCAACAGAGCACAGAACCCGGCUUAAUGGCCGGCUCACACC